UAGGGAAUCUUCGGCAAUGGACGGAAGUCUGACCGAGCAACGCCGCGUGAGUGAAGAAGGUUUUCGGAUCGUAAAGCUCUGUUGUAAGAGAAGAACGAGUGUGAGAGUGGAAAGUUCACACUGUGACGGUAUCUUACCCAAAAGGGAAGGGUAAACUACUUGCCAGCAGCCGCGGUAAUACGUAGGUCCCCAGAGCGUUGUCCGGAUUUAUUGGGCGUAAAGCGAGCGCAGGCGGUUAGAUAAGUCUGAAGUUAAAGGCUGUGGCUUAACCAUAGUACGCUUUGGAAACUGUUUAACUUGAGUGCAAGAGGGGAGAGUGGAAUUCCAUGUGUAGCGGUGAAAUGUGUAGAUAUAUGGAGGAACACCGGUGGCGAAAGCGGCUCUCUGGCUUGUAACUGACGCUGAGGCUCGAAAGCGUGGGGAGCAAACAGGAUUAGAUACCCUGGUAGUCCACGCCGUAAACGAUGAGUGCUAGGUGUUAGACCCUUUCCGGGGUUUAGUGCCGCAGCUAACGCAUUAAGCACUCCGCCUGGGGAGUACGACCGCAAGGUUG
Molecule: ribosomal RNA, 553 nt
Filed under: uncultured bacterium
Lineage: Bacteria
Description: bacterial SSU rRNA
Rfam family: Bacterial small subunit ribosomal RNA
Source: RNAcentral